This 434-nucleotide ribosomal RNA is filed under the name Staphylococcus aureus. Its description in RNAcentral is "partial 23S ribosomal RNA". It matches the Rfam family "Bacterial large subunit ribosomal RNA", at positions 1 to 428 of the family's 2925-position model. The record is from RNAcentral. Lineage: Bacteria; Bacillati; Bacillota; Bacilli; Caryophanales; Staphylococcaceae.
GAUUAAGUUAUUAAGGGCGCACGGUGGAUGCCUUGGCACUAGAAGCCGAUGAAGGACGUUACUAACGACGAUAUGCUUUGGGGAGCUGUAAGUAAGCUUUGAUCCAGAGAUUUCCGAAUGGGGAAACCCAGCAUGAGUUAUGUCAUGUUAUCGAUAUGUGAAUACAUAGCAUAUCAGAAGGCACACCCGGAGAACUGAAACAUCUUAGUACCCGGAGGAAGAGAAAGAAAAUUCGAUUCCCUUAGUAGCGGCGAGCGAAACGGGAAGAGCCCAAACCAACAAGCUUGCUUGUUGGGGUUGUAGGACACUCUAUACGGAGUUACAAAGGACGACAUUAGACGAAUCAUCUGGAAAGAUGAAUCAAAGAAGGUAAUAAUCCUGUAGUCGAAAAUGUUGUCUCUCUUGAGUGGAUCCUGAGUACGACGGAGCACGUG